Molecule: ribosomal RNA, 403 nt
Filed under: uncultured bacterium
Lineage: Bacteria
Description: bacterial SSU rRNA
Rfam family: Bacterial small subunit ribosomal RNA
Source: RNAcentral
UAGGGAAUAUUGCAAAAUGGGCGAAAGCCCGAUGCAGCAACGCCGCGUGGGCGAUGAAGGCCUUCGGGUCGUAAAGCCCUUUUUGAGGGGAUGAGGAAGGACAGUACCCUCAGAAUAAGCCUCGGCUAACUACGUGCCAGCAGCCGCGGUAAAACGUAGGAGGCGAGCGUUAUCCGGAUUUACUGGGUGUAAAGCGCGUGCAGGCGGUUGGCUAAGUUGGGUGUGAAAGCUCCUGGCUCAACUGGGAGAGGUCGCUCAAGACUGGCCGACUGGAGAGCAGGUAGGGAAGGUGGAAUUCCGGGUGUAGUGGUGAAAUGCGUAGAUAUCCGGAGGAACACCAGUGGCGAAGGCGGCCUUCUGGACUGCAUCUGACGCUCAGACGCGAAAGCUAGGGGAGCAAACG